RNAcentral lists this unclassified non-coding RNA (373 nucleotides) under uncultured bacterium. RNAcentral's name for it is "contains 16S-23S intergenic spacer region". The record is from RNAcentral.
UCCGGCUUAUCACCGGCAGUUUCUUUAGAGUGCCCAACUAAAUGAUGGCAACUAAAGACGAGGGUUGCGCUCGUUGCGGGACUUAACCCAACAUCUCACGACACGAGCUGACGACAGCCAUGCAGCACCUGUGAACCAGCCCCAAAGGGGAAGGACUGUUUCCAGCCCGGUCCGGUCCAUGUCAAGCCUUGGUAAGGUUCUUCGCGUUGCAUCGAAUUAAUCCGCAUGCUCCGCCGCUUGUGCGGGCCCCCGUCAAUUCCUUUGAGUUUCACCGUUGCCGGCGUACUCCCCAGGUGGAUUACUUAUCGCUUGCGCUAAGACGCUGACUGUGUAUCGCCAACAUCGAGUAACCAUCGUUUACGGCGUAGACUAC